This is a non-coding RNA of Limosilactobacillus mucosae, 34 nucleotides long. The record is from Rfam. Lineage: Bacteria; Bacillati; Bacillota; Bacilli; Lactobacillales; Lactobacillaceae.
CUAUGUUUCAGGCAAUGAUUCAUGGCAAAAGGAG